RNAcentral lists this unclassified non-coding RNA (221 nucleotides) under Hevea brasiliensis (rubber tree). The record is from RNAcentral. Lineage: Eukaryota; Viridiplantae; Streptophyta; Magnoliopsida; Malpighiales; Euphorbiaceae.
AUUUGGACUCACAGCCUAUGGGAAACAAUAGUAAACUUGAGGAUAUUCAAGAGGUAGUUAAGCAAUUAAACCAUGAGGAAUAUGAUACAGGCAAUGAGAAUCAGAAAAUCAGUGAUAGAAGAGCUUCAUUUCCUCUAAAUAUUGAGAAUCAGGAGAAUGGAGUUCGUAGUACACCAAAAGUGCCUAGCUAUAUGGCACCCACUGAAUCUGCAAGAGCUAAG